Molecule: small nucleolar RNA, 128 nt
Organism: Conger conger (European conger)
Lineage: Eukaryota; Metazoa; Chordata; Actinopteri; Anguilliformes; Congridae
Product: small nucleolar RNA SNORD22
Exons: 1
Source: RefSeq, a predicted model, not a curated record
UCCCUGUGAUGAAACCCACACGUGUCUUACGCCCUGUGUUGGGACCAGAACCUGAAAAGGUGAACCCACUGGUGCUGCCAGGGCAACAAGGGGAUGAACUGUUGGGGUGUCCAACUGUCUGAUGGGAC